GGUGAGAUGGCUCAGUGGGUAAGAGCACCCGACUGCUCUUCCGAUGGUCCAGAGUUCAAAUCCCAGCAACCA
RNAcentral lists this transfer RNA (72 nucleotides) under Mus musculus (house mouse). Its description in RNAcentral is "tRNA-Ser". Lineage: Eukaryota; Metazoa; Chordata; Mammalia; Rodentia; Muridae. The record is from RNAcentral.